RNAcentral lists this ribosomal RNA (1050 nucleotides) under uncultured bacterium. Its description in RNAcentral is "bacterial SSU rRNA". It matches the Rfam family "Bacterial small subunit ribosomal RNA", at positions 335 to 1397 of the family's 1533-position model. The record is from RNAcentral.
ACUCCUACGGGAGGCAGCAGUGGGGAAUAUUGCGCAAUGGGCGAAAGCCUGACGCAGCGACGCCGCGUGAGGGAUGACGGCCUUCGGGUUGUAAACCUCUUUCAGCAGGGACGAAGCGCAAGUGACGGUACCUGCAGAAGAAGCACCGGCCAACUACGUGCCAGCAGCCGCGGUAAUACGUAGGGUGCAAGCGUUGUCCGGAAUUAUUGGGCGUAAAGAGCUCGUAGGCGGUUUGUCGCGUCGGCUGUGAAAACUCGGGGCUCAACCCCGAGCCUGCAGUCGAUACGGGCAGACUAGAGUGCUGUAGGGGAGACUGGAAUUCCUGGUGUAGCGGUGAAAUGCGCAGAUAUCAGGAGGAACACCGGUGGCGAAGGCGGGUCUCUGGGCAGUAACUGACGCUGAGGAGCGAAAGCGUGGGGAGCGAACAGGAUUAGAUACCCUGGUAGUCCACGCCGUAAACGGUGGGUGCUAGGUGUGAGCGGUAUUCCACGCCGUUCGUGCCGCAGCUAACGCAUUAAGCACCCCGCCUGGGGAGUACGGCCGCAAGGCUAAAACUCAAAGGAAUUGACGGGGGCCCGCACAAGCAGCGGAGCAUGUGGCUUAAUUCGACGCAACGCGAAGAACCUUACCAAGGCUUGACAUACACCGAAAACUCGUAGAGAUACGGGGUCCGCAAGGGCGGUGUACAGGUGGUGCAUGGUUGUCGUCAGCUCGUGUCGUGAGAUGUUGGGUUAAGUCCCGCAACGAGCGCAACCCUCGUUCUAUGUUGCCAGCGGGUUAUGCCGGGGACUCAUAGGAGACUGCCGGGGUCAACUCGGAGGAAGGUGGGGACGACGUCAAAUCAUCAUGCCCCUUAUGUCUUGGGCUGCACACAUGCUACAAUGGCCGGUACAAAGGGCUGCUAAACCGCGAGGUGGAGCGAAUCCCAAAAAGCCGGUCUCAGUUCGGAUUGGGGUCUGCAACUCGACCCCAUGAAGUCGGAGUUGCUAGUAAUCGCAGAUCAGCAACGCUGCGGUGAAUACGUUCCCGGGCCUUGUACACACCGCCCGU